AAGCUCUUCCACUGUCACGAAAUAUAAAGACCUAUAUCAUUUACAAACCUCUUCAGUUCUUCUUAAACAUUCUUUGGGCUUGAUUUUCACAGAAUUCAAUAGCUCGUUCAAAGCAUCUUCAAUCUUCACCGAAUCAGAAGACGAUGAUCCUGAGGUACUUAUCCCCAAAAUAAGAUAACUCAGCUAAAUAAGAGCAUAAUCGAAGCAAUCUUGAGAUGAAUCAAAGAAAGGAGCAAAGUGGGAGCAAAAGGAAGCAAGUGGUGGAAAUUCAGCAAAUUCAGCAAGUUCGAUCGAUCUCAGUAAAUGUUCGAUCGAUCCAACUCUGAUCGAUUUCAGCUCUUCAAGAUGGAUCUGAGCUAUUUUACCCUUAUCCAAAGAUUUUACAAAGUUCGAUCAAUCCUACUUUCUUCAGAUCGAUCGAAGAGAUUCCAUCUUAUCCAGUUGUACCACCACACCUACCACUUUUCUCUCUUUUCCAAAAAAUAUCUCCAAAAUAUCUCAGAUUUGUCUUUAUCCAAAAAGGCGCCGCCAUAGAGGAUAGAUCCAGCUUAAGUUCGAUAGAUUUUAGCCAUGUUCGAUCGAUCUCAGAGAAUGUUCGAUCGAUCGAACUUCCCCAAGUUCAAGAAAAUUCAAUUUCCAGCUCAUUAAAAGUUGUCUCAUAUCCAAUCAUUGGGAGGCAUAUUGGUGCACGAGCCCAGGUCAUUGGGGGAGACAUUUGACCUACCUAUAUAAGGAAUAUGAGCCUCUUUUACAAAAAGACUUUUGACACAAUUUCUAUAGGAUAUUCUUAGUGAGGAAGAAAGAAAGAGAGGAGGCUAAAGACACAAACUUGGAGUUCUUCCAUCAAUCAAGAAGCGGAGCAAUCUCUACCAUGGAGUCAGCCCUUGAGGGUUGGAGGACACCAUCCAUGAGUGGCUAGACAUCCUUUUGGGGCUAGAGUUAGCCCUAAGCAUGCUUUCUACAUCUUGAUUUAUGUAUUUUUUAGGGGAUUUGUAUUGUGAUACAUGUUUUGACAUUGUUAUAUACAUAGAUCUUAUUUAUUCAAUGAUU
This is a long non-coding RNA of Cornus florida, 1050 nucleotides long. RefSeq lists it as uncharacterized. The record is from RefSeq and is a predicted model, not a curated record. The transcript has 2 exons. Lineage: Eukaryota; Viridiplantae; Streptophyta; Magnoliopsida; Cornales; Cornaceae.